CGAUAAAGCGGGUGAAAAGCCCGCUCGCCGGAAGACCAAGGGUUCCUGUCCAACGUUAAUCGGGGCAGGGUGAGUCGACCCCUAAGGCGAGGCCGAAAGGCGUAGUCGAUGGGAAACAGGUUAAUAUUCCUGUACUUGGUGUUACUGCGAAGGGGGGACGGAGAAGGCUAUGUUGGCCGGGCGACGGUUGUCCCGGUUUAAGCGUGUAGGCUGGUUUUCCAGGCAAAUCCGGAAAAUCAAGGCUGAGGCGUGAUGACGAGGCACUACGGUGCUGAAGCAACAAAUGCCCUGCUUCCAGGAAAAGCCUCUAAGCAUCAGGUAACAUCAAAUCGUACCCCAAACCGACACAGGUGGUCAGGUAGAGAAUACCAAGGCGCUUGAGAGAACUCGGGUGAAGGAACUAGGCAAAAUGGUGCCGUAACUUCGGGAGAAGGCACGCUGAUAUGUAGGUGAAGUCCCUCGCGGAUGGAGCUGAAAUCAGUCGAAGAUACCAGCUGGCUGCAACUGUUUAUUAAAAACACAGCACUGUGCAAACACGAAAGUGGACGUAUACGGUGUGACGCCUGCCCGGUGCCGGAAGGUUAAUUGAUGGGGUUAGCG
This 600-nucleotide ribosomal RNA is filed under the name Escherichia coli. RNAcentral describes it as "partial 23S ribosomal RNA". It matches the Rfam family "Bacterial large subunit ribosomal RNA", at positions 1310 to 1895 of the family's 2925-position model. Lineage: Bacteria; Pseudomonadati; Pseudomonadota; Gammaproteobacteria; Enterobacterales; Enterobacteriaceae. The record is from RNAcentral.